UACGUAGGGAGCAAGCGUUGUCCGGAAUCAUUGGGCGUAAAGCGCGCGUAGGCGGCCCUGUAAGUCCGUUGUGAAAGUCGAAGGCUCAACCUUUGAAAGCCGAUGGAUACUGCAGGGCUAGAGUCCGGAAGAGGCGAGUGGAAUUCCCGGUGUAGCGGUGAAAUGCGCAGAUAUCGGGAGGAACACCCGUGGCGAAAGCGGCUCUCUGGACCACUACUGACGCUGAGACGCGAAAGCGUGGGGAGCGAACAGG
This 253-nucleotide ribosomal RNA is filed under the name uncultured bacterium. RNAcentral describes it as "partial 16S ribosomal RNA". It matches the Rfam family "Bacterial small subunit ribosomal RNA", at positions 524 to 776 of the family's 1533-position model. The record is from RNAcentral.